AUUUUACACUUGGUUUACUCUGAUGCUUGCUUCUGAGCCUAUGGUGACAAAUUCUACUUUCUGAGUCUGGAUGGGUGGAGGGAGGGCCUGGGAUGGUCAGAUCACAGUUUCCUCCUCCCCUCAGGAAGUAAAGUCCACUGGCAGGAGUGACCACAUUGGCUCGGCCUCACAGACUUAGAAUGCUUGCUUGUGUUCACAGUGCAGCCGAAUGAAAUGCCUUAGAAAAAGGAGUCACUUUGUCAAAAAUUCUAUACUUUUCUUCCCAGAUUGCCUCAUUGCUGAAGGAUUCCUUUGCUGAAGACCACAUCAAAGAGACCGAGCAUCAUGACGCAGAGGGCAGGGAAGGCCCAACCAUACACUGAAGCCCUGGAUGGAGGUUGGGGAUGGAUGAUUGUAUUUCAUUUCUUCCUGGUAAACGUGUUUCUGAUGGGGAUGAUCAAGACGUUCGCCAUUUUCUUUGUGGUCUUCCAAGAAAAAUUUGAAAGCUCCUCAGAACAAACUGGCUGGAUCGGAUCCAUCAUGUCAUCACUUCGUUUUUCUGCAGGUCCCCUGGUUGCCAUUAUUAGUGAAAUAACUGGAGAGAAGACUGCCUCCAUUCUCGGGGUUUUCCUUGUUUCUGGUGGAUAUCUGAUCAGCAGCUUGGCUACUAACAUCCCCUUUCUUUGUGUGACUAUGGGACUUCUACCUGGUUUGGGUUCUGCUCUCCUGUACCAAACAGCUGCCGUGCUAACUACCAAAUACUUCAAGAAACGAUUAGCUCUUUCCACAGCUAUUGCCCGUUCUGGGAUGGGUCUGACGUUUCUGAUAGCGCCUUUUACAAAAGUCCUGAUAGAUCUGUAUGACUGGACAGGUGCCCUUAUACUACUUGGAGGGAUGACAUUAAAUUUGGUGCCUUCAAGUAUGCUCUUAAGAGCCAUCCAUAUCAAAAGCGAGAACAAUUCUGAUAUUAAAAAUAAAGGCAGCAGCUUGUCUGCAAGUAAUCCAGGGGCAGUGGGCACGACAGAAAUGUCAUCCUGCGAUGAGACACAAGAGGCAACCAUCAUGGAGAGUGCAACGCAAAAGGCCAGACAACAUGGGACAAAUUUAAUAGUCUCACAGAACGAAGAGUUCAACAAUGAGCCUAAUGGGGACCGUUAUGAGAAAGAGGCUACUUCAUGCAGCUGUAAACAAAAACUCGGUGACAUCUCCCUUUUAAAAAAUCCUUUCUUCUACAUAUUUACCUGGUCUUUUCUCUUCAGUCAGCUGGCAUAUUUCAUCCCUACUUUCCACCUGGUGGCCAGAGCCAGAACACUGGGGAUUGACAUCAUGGAUGCCUCCUUCCUUGUUUCUGUAGCUGGUAUCACUGAGACAGUCAGUCAGAUAAUCUCUGGAUGGGUUGCUGAUCAAAACUGGAUCAAGAGGUAUCAUUACCACAAGUCUUACCUCAUCCUCUGCGGCAUCACUAACCUGCUCGCUCCUCUGGCCACCACAUUUCCAUUACUGAUGACCUAUACCGUCUUCUUUGCCAUUUUCACUGGUGGUUACCUGGCAGUGCUACUUCCUGUACUGGUUGAUCUGUCUGGGAAUUCUAGAGUACACAGGUUCUUGGGAUUUGCCGGUUUCUUUGCUGGGAUAGCUGUCCUUUCUGGACCACCUAUAGCAGGCUGGUUAUAUGAUCACACCCAGACAUACACCGGAUCCUUCUACUUCUCUGGCAUAUGCUUUCUCCUCUCUUCAGUUUCCCUGUUCUUUGUACCGCUGGCCGAGAGAUGGAAAAACAGAGCCUGACCAGAAAGGAAAAGGACUGCAAUCAAGCAAGUGCUUAACAAAACACAAUCUAAACUAAGAAGUCACUGGAAACAAAAGCUUGAAAGAAGCCAGUUUCCUCAUUUGUAAAAUGAGAAGGCAAACAAGAUCAUUUUUAAGGUUCUUUUUUGCUUUUGCAUUCUGAGGAAUAUCUAAUUAAUAGUGAGAAAAGAAUAAUAGCCACUUGAACUAAGCCUUUGUUAGUAUUUAAU
Molecule: RNA transcript, 1997 nt
Organism: Lutra lutra (Eurasian river otter)
Lineage: Eukaryota; Metazoa; Chordata; Mammalia; Carnivora; Mustelidae
Gene: SLC16A4
Gene name: solute carrier family 16 member 4
Exons: 10
Source: RefSeq, a predicted model, not a curated record